CGGCGCGCCUAACACAUGCAAGUCGCACGAGAGGCUCUUCGGAGUAGUACAGUGGCGAACGGGUGAGUAAGACAUGGGUAACCUGCCUUUGAGAGGGGAAUAACCAGCCGAAAGGCUGGCUAAUACCCCAUACCCUUCCGGUCCUUCGGGUAAGGAAGGAAAGUUGCAUCGUGGAUGCGGCGCUCAGAGAUGGGCUCAUGGCCUAUCAGCUUGUUGGUGGGGUAAUGGCCUACCAAGGCAACGACGGGUAGCUGGUCUGAGAGGACGAUCAGCCACACUGGCACUGAGAUACGGGCCAGACUCCUACGGGAGGCAGCAGUGAGGAAUAUUGCGCAAUGGGCGAAAGCCUGACGCAGCGACGCCGCGUGGGGGAAGAAGGUUUUCGGAUUGUAAACCCCUUUUAGGAGGAAAGAUGGGGUGGGUAACCACCCGGACGGUACCUCCAGAAAAAGCCACGGCUGACUUCGUGCCAGCAGCCGCGGUAAUACGAAGGUGGCGAGCGUUGUUCGGAUUUACUGGGCGUAAAGAGCACGUAGGCGGUUUAGUAAGCCCCUUGGGAAAGCUCCGGGCUUAACCCGGAAAGGUCGAGGGGGACUGCUAAGCUAGAGGGCGGGAGAGGAGCGCGGAAUUCCCGGUGUAGCGGUGAAAUGCGUAGAUAUCGGGAAGAAGGCCGGUGGCGAAGGCGGCGCUCUGGAACGUCUCUGACGCUGAGGUGCGAAAGCGUGGGGAGCAAACA
RNAcentral lists this ribosomal RNA (736 nucleotides) under uncultured bacterium. RNAcentral describes it as "bacterial SSU rRNA". It matches the Rfam family "Bacterial small subunit ribosomal RNA", at positions 40 to 774 of the family's 1533-position model. The record is from RNAcentral.